AUUGAACGCUGGCGGCAGGCUUAACACAUGCAAGUCGAGCGGGGUGAUGGUGCUUGCACUAUCACUUAGCGGCGGACGGGUGAGUAAUGCUUAGGAAUCUGCCUAUUAGUGGGGGACAACAUCUCGAAAGGGAUGCUAAUACCGCAUACGUCCUCAGGGAGAAAGCAGGGGAUCACUUGUGACCUUGCGCUAAUAGAUGAGCACAAGUCGGAUUAGCUAGUUGGUGGGGUAAAGGCCUACCAAGGCGACGAUCUGUAGCGGGGCUGAGAGGAUGAUCCGCCACACUGGGACUGAGACACGGCCCAGACUCCUACGGGAGGCAGCAGUGGGGAAUAUUGGACAAUGGGGGGAACCCUGAUCCAGCCAUGCCGCGUGUGUGAAGAAGGCCUUAUGGUUGUAAAGCACUUUAAGCGAGGAGGAGGCUCUUUUGGUUAAUACCCAAGAUGAGUGGACGUUACUCGCAGAAUAAGCACCGGCUAACUCUGUGCCAGCCGCCGCGGUAA
This 503-nucleotide ribosomal RNA is filed under the name uncultured bacterium. RNAcentral describes it as "partial 16S ribosomal RNA". It matches the Rfam family "Bacterial small subunit ribosomal RNA", at positions 30 to 523 of the family's 1533-position model. The record is from RNAcentral.